CGGGUAGGUAACGACGUGAGGAACCGUACGCCUUUCAGAGGGGGACAACAGCUGGAAACGGCUGCUAAUACCGCAUAACAUAUAGGUAUCGCAUGGUGUCUAUAUCAAAGAUUUAUCGCUGAAAGAUGGCCUCGCGUCUGAUUAGCUAGUUGGUAGGGUAACGGCCUACCAAGGCGACGAUCAGUAGCCGGACUGAGAGGUUGGCCGGCCACAUUGGGACUGAGAUACGGCCCAGACUCCUACGGAAGGCAGCAG
This 255-nucleotide ribosomal RNA is filed under the name uncultured bacterium. Its description in RNAcentral is "partial 16S ribosomal RNA". It matches the Rfam family "Bacterial small subunit ribosomal RNA", at positions 100 to 354 of the family's 1533-position model. The record is from RNAcentral.